Molecule: ribosomal RNA, 506 nt
Filed under: uncultured bacterium
Lineage: Bacteria
Description: partial 16S ribosomal RNA
Rfam family: Bacterial small subunit ribosomal RNA
Source: RNAcentral
ACUCAAAGGAAUUGACGGGGGCUCACACAAGCGGUGGAGCAUGUGGCUCAAUUCGAAGCAACGCGAAGAACCUUAUCCAAGACUUGACAUGCACGGAUUACUGAUCUGAAAAGUGAUGGACACCCUUCGGGUGGAACGUGCACAGGUGCUGCAUGGCUGUCGUCAGCUCGUGCUGUGAAGUGUCGCGUUAAGUCGCUUAACGAGCGAAACCCCUAUCACUAGUUGCCAGCGGGUCAUGCCGGGGACUCUAGUGAGACUGCCGGUGUCAAACCGGAGGAAGGUGGGGAUGACGUCAAGUCCUCAUGGCCUUUAUGUCUUGGGCCGCACACGUGCUACAAUGGCGUUGACAAAGCGAAGCAAUACGGCAACGUGGAGCAAAUCGCACAAACAACGCCCCAGUUCGGAUUGUGGUCUGCAACUCGACCACAUGAAGUCGGAAUCGCUAGUAAUCGCGCAUCAGCUACGGCGCGGUGAAUGAGUUCCUGAGCCUUGUACACACCGCCCGU